Molecule: long non-coding RNA, 2633 nt
Organism: Lolium rigidum
Lineage: Eukaryota; Viridiplantae; Streptophyta; Magnoliopsida; Poales; Poaceae
Exons: 8
Source: RefSeq, a predicted model, not a curated record
CCUUCGCCGUCGUGCGAGUCUCCCCGUUGCGGCCUCCUCGAUCCUGUACGCCGUCGGCCUCGAUCCUGUAUUUUUUCAUUCCUCUUGUUAGAUCCAGCUGCUACAGGCACACAUCAACCAUAAGACAGAUGAGCCAGUGGAAGGUAAUGAUACCGUUGCUAGAUCGAGCUGCUCCUCGCCUCCUCCCCCUUCUGUGACUUACCUACCCCUCCUGAUAUUGCUUACUCCGUAUUAGAUUUCUCGUCGCUCUCUGUUGCUUGCUUAUAUCACAUCUAUCCCUCUCCCGUGUUUGUAUGGAGUAGUAGCAAAUCUUGUUUUGUGCGUGCUAAUUGCUAAGCUUUUGGGUCAAGUAGUAAUUUCAGACCAUAUAUACUUCACGUUUAUUAGAUUAUUUUUACAGCAAUUGCUGAAGAUGCACAAGUAUUACUCUGCCAUUCAUAUAUUUAGGGGGCAGUUUACUUGUACAGGUAUUUGUAGCCUUUUCAUUCUUUUCAAUCGGUUUGGAUUUAAGGUGACGUUUGAAUCUCUUUUCAUGUACCAGGUAUUCACAAACUAAUGUAAUAGAGGAUUGUUCUACAACUUUUUUUUUUUGCCGGUUUUGAUUUAUACACUGAUUUUAAUUUUUAAAGACCAGUGGCUGCAGGGUUACUGUCAGCUAAUAAAUUUGAUUCAUGCAAUGAGGAUAAAGACCAGUGGUUGUGGGGUUACUGUGGUACGGUAUUUGGAACAUGAAACUGGAUUGAUGAACUACUUAUUUUGUUCCUGAUGUGAUAUAAUAUUGGGUGUGUGAAGGCUGAUAGUUUGCUUGUUUGUUUGAUAAAUUUGGUUGUAUCCUUCAUUAGAUGGUUCUUGAAUUGUUAUCGGACAAUGAUUACUAUGGUGUCAUACUACAAUUAAAUAUAUUCAGUUCACCGGUCCAGUACAGCCUUACAGAAGAUAAUGUGAACAUAUAGCAUGCAAGUGGUUAGGCUAAGUGCAAGUGGUAAUCUGUAAGAGAUAGGAAUUAUAUAAGGAGAAUAGUGAGAAGGGUGUCUACUGAUCCUAUCCAGAAUAGCCUUUCUGAACUAUAUGUGCCUUGAUGCACUUCUGCACACCUUCAAUUUUUGGGCCCUCGGCGAGCUUCUUCCUACUUUUAAGGAAGCAAGGAAUUUGGUAGCAAGUAUGUAGCUUACUAUAGUGGGUUUCAUCUUUAGCUCUAAUCAGUCUCCCGGAUGACCUUUUUUCUGUGUAAUUUCUUCUUGCUUCAUGUUGUACUAUAUCUGGGUAGGUGCAUGUUGUUAGGUUAGUUAAAUUCUAUUACUAUUCAGCAAUGGCAUGUCUAAUUUUUAACACUCAAAACCUGAACAUGCCUCGUAAUUUUUUUGCUUGCUUGUUUGAAGACGAUAGUUUGAGUGGCAAUCCUCUCUUCAUGACCAGUGGGUACAUUUUUAGUGCUUCUCUCUACUUUUGGUGUUUCCACUCUAUAAUAUUACAGAAAAUGACUCUUAUUAUCCUUUCCGUUUUAGUGGUGUCACUGCUUCGUAGAUGUUUCUCUUGGAGAGAAAGCACAUGGCAUGUUUCAAGAUUCACUUGUUACCAAAUGCAGUGUUCCAGAAAAAGCUGGACUUUCGCUUUUACCAAACAACAUCUAAACUCAGCAUCUCUCAAACAAACAACAAAAUCUCGGUUGAGCAUGUAUGAGGUCACCAUGUAUGAGGGAGUUAGCUUUUCUGAGUAUCCCCGGGCUACCAAACACACCCUAGCGCUUCCUCGACACUCUCCUCAGGUUUGGCCGCGCCUAGAAGAAGAUCGAGGAGCACAUCUGCACCAAGACCAUCGUACAGAUAUCUGAACCUGCACGCUCCCAUUGACUGAAACUUGCUGUGUUGAAUAAAACAUAAGCGGAACAUCUGCAGCCUGGAAAAAAUACAAGCAAAAGCUGUGGGAUCAUGGAGAGAGGUGUUAUAGGAGGUUGAGAUUAGAAGUUGUUGCACAGAUCUGCAAGAUAUGACAUACUCAGAGUAUAGAGAGGAGAUGAUGACCAAUGAGGUAUUGAGGAUGAACAGGGUAGAGUUGCACAGGUGGGGUUGCUGGCCGUAGCUGGAGGCUUCCCUGAUUUGGGUGUGGACAUUACAAAUGCAGCUCUAGAAGUCAUUGGUCGUUGGUGAUGGUGGUUGGCUCGGGUAGGGGGAGCUUUGGGCAUCUGUCACGUCUUCUCGUAUUAUUACAGUUUGAUCAUGAUUGAAUUUCUUCAGCAACCACGGUAGUAAAUUGUUCGCUGUUUGUGUAUGCAUCUUAUGUAGCUAUUGUAAAAUGCUGCUAUGAAAGGAACCGAGUUUUGUCUCCUUAUAUUUUAGGGACCUUCUUCACUUGUUCAAGGACAAUCUACAAAUUAAGGAGAUUAAUAGCCAAGGAAUUUUGAUGUUUGGAGUAACAGAGGGCAUCUCCAAGACUCCAAUGGGGCGAUGCCGUUUGGGUUUGGGUUGCCUGGCGGACGCGAAAAUAACCGCGAGACGCUCAUUUGCAUCGCGGGCACCCAGCGGUCCGACGCAUUUUAGGCAUUCGUGCUUCUUCUUUUCCUUUUUUGAAGAACUCUUCAAUUUCUACAUUGGUUGUAACGAAUCUUUGAAAGAGCAAGUUCAAACGUGAAAGGA